This 1694-nucleotide ribosomal RNA is filed under the name metagenome. Its description in RNAcentral is "bacterial LSU rRNA". It matches the Rfam family "Bacterial large subunit ribosomal RNA", at positions 814 to 2470 of the family's 2925-position model. The record is from RNAcentral.
UUGGGGGGUGAAAGGCCAAUCAAGCUCGGAGAUAGCUGGUUCUCCCCGAAAUAUAUUUUGGUAUAGCCUCGGAAAAUGAGUUCCUGGGAGGUAGAGCUACUGGAUGGGUCCGGGCUGCGUAAGCAGUACCUCCCCCAACCAAACUCCGAAUGCCCAAGGAAUGCUGUCCGGGAGGCAGUCGCGGUGCGCUAAUGUACUGCGGCGAGAGGGAAAGAACCCAGAACGACUGCUAAGGCCCCGGAGUGGCGGCUCAGUGUAGCAAAGGAUGUGGGUAUGCUGUGACAACUGGGAGGUUGGCUUAGAAGCAGCCAUUCCUUUAAAGAGUGCGUAAUAGCUCACCAGUCCAGCGUAGCCGCGCCGAUAAUGGUCGGGACUUAAGCCGCCCGCCGAAGCAUCGUCUUCACGCUUAGCGUGAGGGGUAGGGGAGCGUUCCCAUAGCGACGAAGCCGGGGCGGAAGCCUUCCGGUGGAGCAGUGGGAAGUGAGGAUGCCGGAUUAAGUACGCGAUAAACAGGGUGAAAACCCCUGUCACCGUAAGCCUAAGGUUUCCUGAGCCAUGUCGAUCAGCUCAGGGUUAGUCGGUCCCUAAGGUGAGGCCGAGAGGCGUAGCUGAUGGGAAACGGGUCAAUAUUCCCGUACCAACUGUAGGCCGUUAUGAGUUCGAGGAGGGACGCAGGAGCAGGAUAUCCGACGGCGGGUGGUUGUGCCGUUGCAAGGUGGUAGACGUUUCCGGGUAGGCAAAUCCGCCUGGAUAGUCGAGAACCGAUGCCGAAGGGGCUUCACCGCCCCGCAAAGGGAUGUUGACGCAUACUGCCGAGAAAAGCUUCGCGAACCAGGACUGCAGUUGACCGUACCGUAAUCCGACACAGGUAGGCGAGGCGAGCAGCCUAAGGUGCUCGAGUGAUUUACGGAAAAGGAACUCGGCAAAAUGACCCCGUAACUUCGGGAUAAGGGGUGCCGGCAGUAGCUGACCUAAUCAAGGGAAGGCGAGACCGGCCGCAGAGAAUCGUCCCAAGCGACUGUUUAGCAAAAACACAGGAGCGUGCAAAGGCAUUGUCCAAGCCGACGUAUACGCUCUGACUCCUGCCCGGUGCCGGAAGGUUAAGGCAAGUCGUCAGCCGCAAGGCGAAGCGAUGAACCGAAGCCCCGGUAAACGGCGGCCGUAACUAUAACGGUCCUAAGGUAGCGAAAUUCCUUGUCGGGUAAGUUCCGACCUGCACGAAUGGAGUAACGACUUGGGAGCUGUCUCUUCCGUAAGCUCGGCGAAAUAGAAGCAUCGGUGAGGAUUCCGAUUACCCGCGACAGGACAAAAAGACCCCAUGCACCUUUACUACAACCUGUCAUUGAUUGUCGGUAUGCGUUGCGUAGCAUAGGUGGGAGCCAUUGAAUCCGCGGUUUUGGCCGUGGUGGAGGCACCAGUGAAAUACCACCCUUCGUUUACUAACAAUCUCACUCAGCCGGCAACACCGGCGAGGACCGUGGCAGGCGGGUAGUUUGACUGGGGCGGUCGCCUCCUAAAAAGUACCGGAGGCGCACAAUGGUUGGCUCAGUGCGGUCGGUAAUCGCACGAGGAGUGUAUACGCAGAAGCCAGCCUGACUGCAAGCGCGACGGCGCGAGCAGGGACGAAAGUCGGUGUAAGUGAUCCGGUGGGACCGUGUGGACGGCCCAUCGCUCAUCGGAUAAAAGGUACGCCA